UGUCAGCGAUGACACUGCGCGGGUCCUC
This 28-nucleotide small RNA is filed under the name Bombyx mori (domestic silkworm). RNAcentral describes it as "ovarian small RNA-35609". The record is from RNAcentral. Lineage: Eukaryota; Metazoa; Arthropoda; Insecta; Lepidoptera; Bombycidae.